AUUGAACGCUGGCGGCAUGCUUUACACAUGCAAGUCGAACGGCAGCGCGGGCUUCGGCCUGGCGGCGAGUGGCGAACGGGUGAGUAAUACAUCGGAACGUGCCCAGUAGUGGGGGAUAGCUCGGCGAAAGCCGGAUUAAUACCGCAUACGACCUGAGGGUGAAAGCGGGGGAUCUUCGGACCUCGCGCUAUUGGGGCGGCCGAUGGCAGAUUAGCUAGUUGGUGGGGUAAAGGCCUACCAAGGCGACGAUCUGUAGCUGGUCUGAGAGGACGACCAGCCACACUGGGACUGAGACACGGCCCAGACUCCUACGGGAGGCAGCAGUGGGGAAUUUUGGACACAGGGCGAAAGCCUGAUCCAGCAAUGCCGCGUGUGUGAUGAAGGCCUUCGGGUUGUAAAGCACUUUUGGCGGGAACGAAAAGGACUGUGCCAAUACCACGGUUCGAUGACGGUACCCGCAGAAUAAGCACCGGCUAACUACGUG
RNAcentral lists this ribosomal RNA (484 nucleotides) under uncultured bacterium. RNAcentral describes it as "partial 16S ribosomal RNA". It matches the Rfam family "Bacterial small subunit ribosomal RNA", at positions 29 to 507 of the family's 1533-position model. The record is from RNAcentral.